UACGUAGGGACCAAGCGUUGUCCGGAAUCAUUGGGCGUAAAGCGCGCGUAGGCGGCCCGGUAAGUCCGUUGUAAAAGUCAAAGGCUCAACCUUUGAAUGCCGAUGGAUACUGCCGGGCUAGAGUCCGGAAGAGGCGAGUAGAAUUCCUGGUGUAGCGGUGGAAUGCGCAGAUAUCAGGAGGAAUACCCAUAGCGAAGGCAGCUCGCUGGGACGGUACUGACGCUAAGGCGCGAAAGCGUGGGGAGCAAACAGG
RNAcentral lists this ribosomal RNA (253 nucleotides) under uncultured bacterium. RNAcentral's name for it is "partial 16S ribosomal RNA". It matches the Rfam family "Bacterial small subunit ribosomal RNA", at positions 524 to 776 of the family's 1533-position model. The record is from RNAcentral.